UGAGCAAUCUGCCCUUCUCAUCGGAAUAAGCGUUGGAAACGACGUCUAAUGCCGAAUACGACCUCCUUUCGCAUGAUCGGAGGUGGAAAGCUCCGGCGGUCAAGGAUGGGCUCGCGGCCUAUCAGCUUGUUGGUGAGGUAACGGCUCACCAAGGCUUCGACGGGUAGCCGGCCUGAGAGGGCGACCGGCCACACUGGGACUGAGAUACGGCCCAGACUCCUACGGGAGGNAGCG
Molecule: ribosomal RNA, 234 nt
Filed under: uncultured bacterium
Lineage: Bacteria
Description: partial 16S ribosomal RNA
Rfam family: Bacterial small subunit ribosomal RNA
Source: RNAcentral